Molecule: transfer RNA, 90 nt
Filed under: Parcubacteria group bacterium
Lineage: Bacteria
Description: tRNA-Ser
Rfam family: tRNA
About the family: Transfer RNA (tRNA) molecules are approximately 80 nucleotides in length. Their secondary structure includes four short double-helical elements and three loops (D, anti-codon, and T loops). Further hydrogen bonds mediate the characteristic L-shaped molecular structure. tRNAs have two regions of fundamental functional importance: the anti-codon, which is responsible for specific mRNA codon recognition, and the 3' end, to which the tRNAs corresponding amino acid is attached (by aminoacyl-tRNA synthetases). tRNAs cope with the degeneracy of the genetic code in two manners: having more than one tRNA (with a specific anti-codon) for a particular amino acid; and 'wobble' base-pairing, i.e. permitting non-standard base-pairing at the 3rd anti-codon position.
Source: RNAcentral
GGAGAGAUGCCAGAGCGGUCGAAUGGGACGGUCUUGAAAACCGUUAGGCCUUCACGGGUCUCUAGGGUUCGAAUCCCUAUCUCUCCGCCA